CCUUACGGCUCAGUAACACGUGGAUAACCUGCCCUUGGGUCCGGCAUAACCCCGGGAAACUGGGGAUAAUUCCGGAUAACGCAUAUAUGCUGGAAUGCUUUAUGCGUAAAAUGGAUUCGUCUGCCCAAGGAUGGGUCUGCGGCCUAUCAGGUAGUAGUGGGUGUAAUGUACCUACUAGCCAACAACGGGUACGGGUUGUGAGAGCAAGAGCCCGGAGAUGGAUUCUGAGACAUGAAUCCAGGCCCUACGGGGCGCAGCAGGCGCGAAAACUUUACAAUGCGGGAAACCGUGAUAAGGGGACACCGAGUGCCAGCAUCAUAUGCUGGCUGUCCGGGUGUGUAAAAUACACCCGUUAGCAAGGGCCGGGCAAGACCGGUGCCAGCCGCCGCGGUAACACCGGCGGCCCGAGUGGUGAUCGUGAUUAUUGGGUCUAAAGGGUCCGUAGCCGGUUUGGUCAGUCCUCCGGGAAAUCUGAUGGCUCAACCAUUAGGCUUUCGGGGGAUACUGCCAGGCUUGGAACCGGGAGAGGUAAGAGGUACUACAGGGGUAGGAGUGAAAUCUUGUAAUCCCUGUGGGACCACCUGUGGCGAAGGCGUCUUACCAGAACGGGUUCGACGGUGAGGGACGAAAGCUGGGGGCACGAACCGGAUUAGAUACCCGGGUAGUCCCAGCCGUAAACGAUGCUCGCUAGGUGUCAGGCAUGGCGCGACCGUGUCUGGUGCCGCAGGGAAGCCGUGAAGCGAGCCACCUGGGAAGUACGGCCGCAAGGCUGAAACUUAAAGGAAUUGGCGGGGGAGCAC
Molecule: ribosomal RNA, 800 nt
Filed under: uncultured archaeon
Lineage: Archaea
Description: bacterial SSU rRNA
Rfam family: Archaeal small subunit ribosomal RNA
Source: RNAcentral